UAGGGAAUAUUAGAAUGGACGAAAGUCUGAUCUAGCAACACCGCGUGUGCGAAGAAGGCCUUCGGGUCGUAAAGCACUUUUUGGAAGGAAUAGGAAGGAAUGUACUUCCAGAAUAAGUCUCGGCUAACUACGUGCCAGCAGCCGCGGUAACACGUAGGAGGCAAACGUUAUCCGGAUUUACUGGGCGUAAAGCGCGUGUAGGUGGUUUGGUAAGUAGAGCGUGAAAGCUCCUGGCUCAACUGGGAGAGGUCGUUCUAAACUGCCGGACUAGAGGAUGGUAGAGGGAGGUGGAAUUCCGGGUGUAGCGGUGGAAUGCGCAGAUAUUCGGAGGAACACCAGUGGCGAAAGCGGCCUCCUGGCUCAUAUCUGACGCUCAGACGCGAAAGCUAGGGUAGCAAACG
This 401-nucleotide ribosomal RNA is filed under the name uncultured prokaryote. Its description in RNAcentral is "bacterial SSU rRNA". It matches the Rfam family "Bacterial small subunit ribosomal RNA", at positions 355 to 774 of the family's 1533-position model. The record is from RNAcentral.